This 303-nucleotide ribosomal RNA is filed under the name Alvania formicarum. RNAcentral's name for it is "partial 16S ribosomal RNA". It matches the Rfam family "Bacterial large subunit ribosomal RNA", at positions 1817 to 2319 of the family's 2925-position model. Lineage: Eukaryota; Metazoa; Mollusca; Gastropoda; Littorinimorpha; Rissoidae. The record is from RNAcentral.
GGCUCUUUGAAAUUUAUAUAUAGAGAGUCGAGCCUGCCCAGUGAUAAUAUUAUUUAACGGCCGCAGUACCCUGACUGUGCAAAGGUAGCAUAAUCAUUUGCCCUAUAAUUGAGGGCUAGUAUGAAUGGUUUGACAAGAACAAAACUGUCUCUAGAAAAUUUUAUUAAAAUUAGUUUUUAGGUGAAGAAACCUAAAUAAAACUAAAAGACGAGAAGACCCUAUCGAGCUUAAAAGAUUAUUUAGAUUUACUGAUGUUCUUUUUGGUUGGGGCGACCGAGGAACAAAUAAAGCUUCCUAAGUUUU